AUUUUUGUUGAAGGCAGAAGAUUAAAGAAAGAAUUGCUGAGCUGAUAUCCUUGGGGUUACAGGCUGAGGUCCCAGGUAGUAUUGGAAGACAUGAGUCUUUAAUAAAAACUUGUCCGAAGGUACCAAGAUGUGUUGGAGGGGAAGCAAUGUUCCCCAAAGUCCAGCAUAGUAGACAUCAGUGGUGGUAACCAAGGAGAGACCCCAAGGGAAGGUGAACCUCAAAAAUGGAACCUUGAGUCUAUGCGGUCCAGCAGCCCUCCCCACCAGGAAAUCCUUGUUCCAGCCCAACAUCAGUGGCUCUGAGUUUGGUUACUAGAAACGAAGGGAGAAUUUCCUUGUAAAGAUAUAGACAGAGCAGUCCCUGACUUUCUCCUCUUGCAGGAAGGAGGGAUUCUCCCAUUCCAUACCAUCUUCCCCCCAUGCUGGCCCCAGAAAUACUUAAUUUGACUAUAUAAAAAUAAAGAUUGUUUUCAGUUUAAGGGCA
Cebus imitator (Panamanian white-faced capuchin) is the source of this 484-nucleotide long non-coding RNA. RefSeq lists it as uncharacterized. The record is from RefSeq and is a predicted model, not a curated record. The transcript has 2 exons. Lineage: Eukaryota; Metazoa; Chordata; Mammalia; Primates; Cebidae.